RNAcentral lists this ribosomal RNA (797 nucleotides) under uncultured archaeon. RNAcentral's name for it is "bacterial SSU rRNA". It matches the Rfam family "Archaeal small subunit ribosomal RNA", at positions 325 to 1123 of the family's 1478-position model. The record is from RNAcentral.
ACGGGGUGCAGCAGGCGCGAAACCUCCACAAUUCACGCAAGUGAGAUGGGGUUACCUCGAGUGCUAUCUGAAGAAGGUGGCUUUUCCAUGGUGUAAUGAGCCGUGGGAAUAAGGGGGGGGCAAGACUGGUGUCAGCCGCCGCGGUAACACCAGCCCCCCGAGUGGUGGGGAUGAUUAUUUGGCCUAAAGCGUCCGUAGCCAGCUCGGUAAAUCUCCCGUUAAAUCCAGCGUCCUAAGCGUUGGGCUGCGAGGGAAACUGCCGAACUAGAGGGUGGGAGAGGUCAGCGGUAUUCCUGGGGUAGGGGCGAAAUCCAUUGAUCCCAGGAGGACCACCAGUGGCGAAGGCUGCUGACUAGAACACGCCUGACGGUGAGGGACGAAAGCUGGGGUAGCGAAUCGGAUUAGAUACCCGAGUAGUCCCAGCCGUAAACGAUGCAGGCUAGGUGUUGGGUCGGCCAUGCGCCGCCUCAGUGCCACAGGGAAGCCAUUAAGCCUGCCGCCUGGGGAGUACGGCCGCAAGGCUGAAACUUAAAGGAAUUGGCGGGGGAGCACCACCAGGCGUGAAGCCUGCGGUUUAAUUGGAGUCAACGCCGGGAACCUUACCGGGAGCGACAGCAGAGUGAAGGCCAGGCUGAAGGUCUUGCCAGACGAGCUGAGAGGAGGUGCAUGGCCGUCGCCAGUUCGUGCCGUGAGGUGUCCUCUUAAGUGAGGUAACGAACGAGACCCGCGCCCCAUGUUGCCAGCAAAUCCUAAAGGGAUGUUGGGCACUCUUGGGGGACCGCAGCCGACAAGGCUGA